This 253-nucleotide ribosomal RNA is filed under the name uncultured bacterium. RNAcentral describes it as "partial 16S ribosomal RNA". It matches the Rfam family "Bacterial small subunit ribosomal RNA", at positions 524 to 776 of the family's 1533-position model. The record is from RNAcentral.
UACAGAGGGGGCGAGCGUUGUUCGGAAUUACUGGGCGUAAAGGGCUCGUAGGCGGCCAACUAAGUCGGACGUGAAAUCCCCAGGCUCAACCUGGGAACUGCGUCCGAUACUGGAUGGCUUGAAUCCGGGAGAGGGAUGCAGAAUUCCUGGUGUAGCGGUGAAAUGCGCAGAUAUCAGGAAGAACACCUAUGGCGAAGGCAGCUCUCUGGGACGGUACUGACGCUGAGACGCGAAAGCGUGGGGAGCGAACAGG